CUGGAUGUGAGGUCCAUCUGGCUGUGGACAGCUGUCACCCCAGUGAUCACCAGGGUUGGUUCCGCUGAUCUCGUGGGCUGGGUGGUGUCCCCAUCUCCCUCAUGGCUCCAAGUGUGUCACCCCUGAAGCUGUGCACUGGGUAGAAGAGGAUGACCUUCCCCGAAAGAGGCGGACCUUUCUUCAGUCAAGGUUUCAAGAGUAGCUGCACUCUCCUGCUAGAACCUCCAAAUGUGCUCUCAAGGGUUUUUGUAGGAGAACGGGACUCCAGGACUCCAGACACAUCCAAAUGAGGUGCUGCAUGUGGCAGUCUGUCUUUCUUAUGUUGCAGGAAAUUCAGGGCGUGGUAUAUAGUUAAAGGACAAAAACACUUACUCCAUUAGAGGAGGGAGAGAGGCAUCAUGGGAAUAGAGAAGGUAAAACAUGGAGGCCAGCUGAGUUCAUGUAGCAAAAUAGAAAGAACCUAUGUAAACUCCUAGACUUUUCAUUCUUCCUCAAAUUUAUAGGUAUUCAGUGUAUUCACCGUCAUUCCUUUCCCCCCACGUAAUUGUUUACUGGAGCUUUAUAAUUUGAAAGUGAUGUUAUCUUUUGGGAAUGUGGAGGAGGGUAGCUCUUUCUUUAAUUUCAGUGAUGCCAAAUGUCUGCCAGUCAUCUGGCCAGGAAAAUCAGGGCUGUUUACUGUUGCUGCCAUUCCGUGAUCACAUUUCCCUUCACUAAAUGGUGGUGUCUGGUGCUUAGCUCACAUUUCACACCAGUUGCCCCGUUGCUGUUGGAAGCUAAAUCAGCAUGUUGAGAAGCAGCAAGUGGCACCUAAUGCCCGUCUUGAGAAAAGUCACCACGUUUGAGUCACCUCGAAGGUCCUCAGCUGCUCUCCCUGAAGGGAUUGAGAGGUGCUCGCUGAUUUGAAACAGCAUUUCUCAGCUGCGGGGAAGGCACACUGAGUAAAUACUGGAAGGAGGACAGUUUAAAGACAUAAAGGCAGUUUCUGUCAAGGCAGGCCAUACUUUUCCUCUCAGCUGCACGCACACGGGAGGAAUUAGCCCUGCGAUCUGCCAGUGUUUUAUAGCCACAAAGAACAAAUAGAUAACUACUUCAGUUGGAUCCCAUCAAGAUAUACAACCGCGUGGAACUAAAUCGGGAACUCUGGACUGAAGCUUCCUGACACCCUCUUCUUCUUUUUUUCCUGUAUUAAGCUAUUUAGCCGACUCUUCCGAUUUACUCUCUUGGAAAGGUUCCUUGUCAUAGUGUUCUGUUCACUCUCCUUAAUUUUAUCCUCUUAUUUUUUGUCUCAGGGGUCUCUCCAGUCCUCUUUCCAUUCCCAUUUUCUCUAAAGCUCAUCUUAGCUUUUCAUCCUUUUAAUCACUAUGCAAGACACCUUGCUCCAUGUGGCCAAACUGGUUUCUCAACUUUUUGUCCAAACGUGGCCCACAUGAUUCUAGCAAGUAACUCUUCUUUUUGGGUAUUUCUAGUUUUGUUUGAAAAAUAGGGUGGAGGGGGGAGAGAAGUCAGAGUGGACCAUGUGCGACUGGAGGGAGAGUAAAUAAUUGGGUGAUGCCCAUACAUUGUUGUGAUUAAAUAAACUCCCCACAGUAUGCCUCGGGUUCUCUCCAUAUUAGGUCCAUUGGCUGUUUCAUCCAUUUUUGUGAAAGAACCAUUAGAAGUUAAUUUUAUAGCUGUGAUAUUUUAUGAAAUUUUUUUUAAAGUACAAAUGUUCUGUUAAAGUACUUAUUGAGUACUCAUAGAGAUAAUAUCUGAAGCAUUAAAUUUUAGCCAUCUCGUGUGGAAUUUAUUUUUUAAAAGACAAAUUUUAACUUUGGUGCAAUUAUAGUCCUGUAUUUCUUUUGAUCAAUUUCAGUCUUGCCGUACUCUGUUUAUAUUUUACUAAAAUUAAAAAAAGAACAUUAAAAA
Long non-coding RNA from Physeter macrocephalus (sperm whale), 1905 nucleotides. RefSeq lists it as uncharacterized. Lineage: Eukaryota; Metazoa; Chordata; Mammalia; Artiodactyla; Physeteridae. The record is from RefSeq and is a predicted model, not a curated record. The transcript has 3 exons.